CCGCGGAGCCGAUCCGAUCCGAUCAGAUCCGAUCCGCCGGUGCCGAUCCCUGGAGCCCAUCGAUCCCCGCGGAGCCGAUCCGAUCAGAUCCGAUCCGCCGGUGCCGAUCCCCGGAGCCCAUCGAUCCCCGCGGUGCCGAUCGAUCCCUGCGGUGCCACUGCCCGCUCAGCGGGUCCGCCCGCGCCGGGCGGUGGCCGGCGCGCUCUCGGGGGGCGCUGCCCGCGCUCCAGGUAGCUUGGGGCUGCGGUUGCGUCCGCAGGUAAAGGCGCUGCGGGACGUGCGCUGUUCCGAUCACCGAAGGUUUCUGUAGUCAGCAAAUUACCAAAUCCUACCGAAAUCCACGGUCGUGUGUCCCGCUGACCGGGGGCCAGCCGCGGGCCGCGCCGCCUCGGCUACGGAGAGUUUGUCCCCGUUCCUCGUCCUACCACAGCUUCAGGGCCGAAGUCACCAUUUUUAAAGUUAUUUACACAAUGGAAUAAACGCUACUUGCUUGCUACUGCAAGUGCUGCGGUAGGAGGGGAGACUCGCUGCAAUAGAGUUCAUUGCCUGGGGGCUCCAAGCUGCAGCGCAGGAGGGGCGGCAUGCACGCUGCAUCCGCCGGGAACGUGCUUCCCCCCGUGCUACAGCCGCUCUACUGUGACACGGCACAGGCAUGUUUUACAUCAGCGUUUAUCUGUCAGGAUUUGACAGGCACAAAACUUCAGUCAGUUAAAGUACAGUAUUUUCCAUAAAUGUGAACAAUUAUGCAAAAUGACGCUUGUUUUACUGCUGUAAGUAUACUAAUUUAACAAUGAAAUUAAAAGCUACGUCAACAGCAACAUGAAGAUCUGUUUAAAAUACAAGCUAGUACUUGGAGAAAAUUAUUUUCAUGUGUACAUACAAUUAAGUAAUUUGAAAAACAAAGUUCACCCAUUUAAUUCUAACAUCUAAAAUCUUUGCCAUAUAAAUUCACCUUAACAUGUAAUCACUUUAAAAUUCUUGACAGCAUAAUAAAAUGUUGCAAAUUAACAACAUCCCAGACAAGAUCAAAGUUAUGGAUGCAGAAAUAUAUAAAUUAUCAAUAUGGAAUAAAAAUACAUGCAUUCAUCACCAAGAGACUACAGUUGUCUUCUGGAGUUGCAAAUAAAAUAUUUUUAACCCAACUGUUCCAAAUUCUAGACAGCUGCUGAUACAUUGCUUCAUGGUUUAUGAAGUUCCGCAAUUAAGAGGCAUCUGGGAUCACAUUAUUUAAUAAGAGUGAUAAGUACUUCAGUUUUCAGUGCUGUUCUGCACUUGCAUAUCAGCAGUGAGAGUGAGCUGGCAGAGACUAUGAAUCUGAUGUUAUCAGCAGGUUAAACUUUCAUCUGGAGGUUGUAUUAAUCCCACCACACUUUCCUGCUGAUCCUCCGUGACCCUGAAGGGAUUAGAAUGACAACACCUCCCCCAGAAGCAGGCUUGAGAUGGCCGGAGGAAGCACGGGCAGUGCAUGGGCAGUGCAAGGAGCAGCUUGGGCAUGCCAUGGCCAGCUUCCUUAUGGCAGCUCCAUAGCAGCUGACCCAGAACAGAAGCGCUGCCAAGUCUCACGUUCUGCACCACUGCAGCUCAGGAACUGCACAGCCAUGAAGUGUGCAAAGCUUCAUACCCUCAGCUAUGAAAUUCUCUCAAAAGGAAAAGGAGGCUGCAGCUGACUACUGCAAACUCUGGUUUUGCCACGUGGAAAUAUUCCCUUAUAUCAAACUUGCUAAGUUGUCCCUGAGCCUGAGCAGACAAUAGACAGCAGAGUUGAUUUAAUGCAGGGUAGAGACCAGAGCUAGACCAUUUGAAGCUUGAGGACCCGAUUGGAUCUGUGUGCAUCCUACCCUACAGAUAUAAGUUACUAAUGUAAAAUCCUCCCCCAGGCCAAGGAAAGAAUGCAUACCUGCAGCAGAUGUUGGCUCACUCAAUAUGAUUACAAGGGAAAAUAAAGUCAAUGUGGGUCCCAAUCACAGCAGAUGCACUGGCUAUUUGUAAAGCAAGGUUUUUCAUCAUCUUCCUGGAGACAGGAGAACCAAUACUUUUCUAUCUGACCGUACCUUCAAAACCAAGAAGAAGAAAUUUCACUGGUGAAGAUGAAUUGAAAAAUGGCCAUUAAUAUGGGAAAGAAAAGGUAACAUGAACUGGAAUGAGGUGUAAACAACAGGAAGAGGGAUGAUGUAAACAAAUGCUAGAGGACAUUGUCUCUGUUAUGGUCAGUUUUUGGAAAAGUCAGUACAGGGUAAGCGUGGACUAAAAAAGGAACCAAAGCUAUGGCAACCAUUUUGCAAAUAACUCUACAAAUAAAUACAGUCUUUAGCUGUCUCUGAAAACUAUGAGAUUACUCAUCCAUAAAAAUGCUGAGGUUCUGGCAUAUUAUUCACUUAAAAUACAAAUAGUGAUUCUUUCCCAUUCAUUUAUUCUAAAAGACUAGAAUUUUAAGCACAGUGGCAAACAUUACCACUUCAGAAGAUCCCACUGCUAUAGUGUAAUGGCAGAAGUUUGGUCAUCAACAUCACAGUGAAAUGACAGCAGAAUACCAGAAGUUUUGCACUGCUUUACAUAAAAGAAUCAAGACCACAACCUGUUUAAAAUACUGAGCGAGGAUGUGUGGCAGAGUGAAGUGGGAAAAGAAACCCAGUUUGUUUCUCUUUGCUACUUCUACUUUAUGAUUCAAAUUUUUCCUGCAAAGUUCUUCUCUUCUUGCAAUGACCUUCUUGAUAUGACUACACUGGCUCUUCAGGUAUAAAGGCUGUGCUUGAUACCAAACUGGAAGAGCCCCAGGAUGAGCCAGGGGCCUGCAUCAGGCAUUUCUCUGGCUCAGGCUGGAAAGCACUUCUCAGAUCUUCACAGUUCAUGUUAUCUACGUUACCAUUAGAGAGUGAGGCAUAAAAAAGCAACAAGUAGUCACUUACCUUUCAGAUUACUUUUAACCUAUUUUUACUUCCUCCAUGACAACAUUUCUCAUUUUAUACUGAAAAUUCAGCUCACUUCAGAAGUGAGAUCUUUUGCUUACUGCGGUAGAAAAAGGGCAUUUUAAUGUAAAUGUUGAAAAUGUUGAAAUGUCCUUCUACACUUUAUAUGCAGUUAAUGCUCAUUACAGAAUUAUCUGAUCUGAUUUAAUAAUUCCUAAAGUGUAAAUUAUUUUAUCAAUGUGCAAUAAAAUAGAGUUAACAGUUACAUUGUUGCUUGAGAGAGAACUGAAUUUUGGAUCUUCAAAAUGUUUCAAUGUGAAAAUCCAAAAGACUCCUUUUAGUUUGCUUUCUUUACAGAGGGAAAUUCAGUCAAACCCAUUUGUGCACUGGCCAUAAUUGCAGGGGGAGCUUUGUGUGGAUGCACUGCAGCAAUGUGACACAGUUUCUGGAGCUGCAGAGACAGAUUGACACAUCUCUGGUAUACUCAGUACUGACAGUUGUUUGUUUUUCCAAUCACUAUUAGCUGUUCUUCCCCAAAUAUCUUCAGCCACAUCUUGUCCUCAGAUCUCAUCCUGGAAAGUGACCUGAUCAAAUAGACUUUUCAUUUCAGGAGACGCCUGGCACUAAUUUAUUUGGAAGACCAGGUAGAAAGUACAGCUUUCCCCAGAAGUUCUGUUAUUUAACUGCACAAAAGGUUUACAGAGCAGAAGUAUUUUUUUCCCUGUCAUUUUUAUGCAUAUAUGAAGUAUUUGAUAUAUAUCUUUUAAAUUACACAUUAGGAUUUCCUGGAAUUUCUGUUUUGACUGCUUAAGUGACAUGGGCUUGACUGUUAACAUUUUUUAAAAGAAGUAGUUUAAAUUGGUGCAGUUGUUCUUUCAGUGAAUGACUGAAAAUAGUUGUGGAAAGUUUCAGAUUCUUUUUUGAACAGUUGUAGAUAACUGGACAGUAGAUUUUUGAACAGUAAAUUUCAGUAUUUUUAUCAUUGUACUUUGAAAUAGCUAUAAUUUAUUUUAUAACUGCCAUUCUGAAUUGAAAAAUGGAAAAUAAACAUUUUGGCACGUUUAA
This is a long non-coding RNA of Passer domesticus (house sparrow), 3971 nucleotides long. RefSeq lists it as uncharacterized. Lineage: Eukaryota; Metazoa; Chordata; Aves; Passeriformes; Passeridae. The record is from RefSeq and is a predicted model, not a curated record. The transcript has 2 exons.